RNAcentral lists this small RNA (1369 nucleotides) under Histoplasma capsulatum. Its description in RNAcentral is "hypothetical RNA". The record is from RNAcentral. Lineage: Eukaryota; Fungi; Ascomycota; Eurotiomycetes; Onygenales; Ajellomycetaceae. RNAcentral also lists the same sequence under 1 other name.
UUUGCCCUAGUGGCCUAAUAAGAUAUUCGGCCAUUUGCACCCCCGGAUUCAAUGCGAAUACAACCUUAUCGCUACAUGCUGUCCAGCCGUCGUCGCUUGCAAAAACCCAUUGCUGAUUGGAGUCGUUGACAGCAUGAACGUAUAGCCCUCGCUCUCCAUCCUUCAAGUUGAGCAGGAGGCUUUUGCAUGGUGAUUCGAGGUUGACCAGUAAAGUGCAUGUCUCGAACAGGGCUACUGCCCUACGCACUUUAAGGACACUAUUACUGUAGUCCUUCGAAAACUAGGAAAAGAUGAUUAUACGCAGCCCAAGGUGUACCGGCGAAUUGCCCUCCUCAACACGCUAGGUAAUGCCCUGAAGGCCAUCAUGGCGAACCGACUGACCUAUAUCGCCGACACUGGGAUUACGGACCGUGAUAUGGAUUAGUCAAUACCCCUCGAGGAACAAAAAGACGCAUGUACAGUACGACAGAAAAUCAAACUAGGUAGGCCCUGCGCCAGAUAGAGAACAGUAAAUCAAAUCCAGAACCACAAUCAUCGUCCGAUAGCCUUGAAUAUGUGACCAAAGACAUACAUCGAACGCUGCGGCCUCGAACCCCGGUUGUUUGCUACUAUUGGUACCAAGCCAUUGCGGUGCAUGUCAUCCAUGUCCAAUCACCCGUUGAAGGACGCAUCGUUAAGGGAGCAUCUGCAUGGUUGCAGAUCGGUGGAACUUGGCGGAUCUUCCAUUUGCUGGAAUUCUCGCUUCGAGUUCUGCAACGGCAGGGAGCUGGACCGAGAGGUUUGUACAUUCGCUGAAACGGAAUUGUCGGUGGGCACUCUACAAGAGCUAUACGAAUUGAUUGAGUAUGGGUAGGUUGUUCAGAGGGAGUUUCUUCACAAUAUACAUAACUAUACCCCUACAAUGACGGUCAUUAAAAUAACUACACAGCAUACACUGAAGUGUCUCUUUUCAUCAAUAACACAUCUGGAUGAGGCUAUUGUACCUGCUUCAUGACUUUUUAACCCUCUUUAAACUUGAUGGCUGUACCUUAUGUUGCUGAAACACAAUGGAAAAUAAAGGCUCUGAGAUUUGACUGUAGAGUUGCAUACUCAAGUUCUGUUACUGUGCAUAAGGGAAUGGUAAACUGAGAGAAUACUAGACGUAGAGAACCCUAGAAACUGCUAGACCUAGAAAAUGCUUAAAUUAUGGAUAUGUUGAAUAAAGAAGAAUCUCUUUUUGUUUGGUAUAUUGGGUGUGCGAACAUUCCACGGAUUUUCUAUUUUCCGUUUGCGUUAUUGGACAUUCAGGAUUUUGUUCCCUAUGUACGUAUUUGGCAUGAAUUGUUAAAAUGAGCAGGCUUGCAGUUGUUGUAUUUACAGCCUGGACAUA